RNAcentral lists this unclassified non-coding RNA (290 nucleotides) under Melitaea cinxia (Glanville fritillary). Its description in RNAcentral is "misc RNA ENSMCXG00005021380.1". The record is from RNAcentral. Lineage: Eukaryota; Metazoa; Arthropoda; Insecta; Lepidoptera; Nymphalidae.
AUCAAAAGGAACUCUUCUGUUGAACAGAAAGGACAAAUAGUCACACUCAACCAUAACAUUUUGAUUUUGAUUAAAGUCAACUCUUCAAUGCGAUCCUGAUUGUCGCGGUAAAUUGGAACAACGUUGGCUCGUCACCCACAAGAAUUAAAUUGAAAUUAAUAUAAAAUAUGCAACGUGAUAGCGCGAAAGGGUCAAACAUGGACACGAAAAUUAAAUAUAACCAAGUAGCCGCAUACAGCCAAACGACCGGUCACAACAACUCCAAAGUCACACAAAUAAGCUACGUGCAA